RNAcentral lists this transfer RNA (75 nucleotides) under Negativicutes bacterium. RNAcentral's name for it is "tRNA-Val". It matches the Rfam family "tRNA". From Rfam's summary of the family: Transfer RNA (tRNA) molecules are approximately 80 nucleotides in length. Their secondary structure includes four short double-helical elements and three loops (D, anti-codon, and T loops). Further hydrogen bonds mediate the characteristic L-shaped molecular structure. tRNAs have two regions of fundamental functional importance: the anti-codon, which is responsible for specific mRNA codon recognition, and the 3' end, to which the tRNAs corresponding amino acid is attached (by aminoacyl-tRNA synthetases). tRNAs cope with the degeneracy of the genetic code in two manners: having more than one tRNA (with a specific anti-codon) for a particular amino acid; and 'wobble' base-pairing, i.e. permitting non-standard base-pairing at the 3rd anti-codon position. The record is from RNAcentral. RNAcentral also lists the same sequence under 1 other name. Lineage: Bacteria; Bacillati; Bacillota; Negativicutes.
GGGGUAUUAGCUCAGCGGGAGAGCGCUUGACUCACAUUCAAGAGGUCACUGGUUCGAAACCAGUAUGCCCCACCA